RNAcentral lists this long non-coding RNA (480 nucleotides) under Linum usitatissimum (flax). RNAcentral's name for it is "long non-coding RNA (LUSI_LNC003171)". Lineage: Eukaryota; Viridiplantae; Streptophyta; Magnoliopsida; Malpighiales; Linaceae. The record is from RNAcentral.
AGCCCGUAGUAGCCGUUGAGUAAACCUGCAGAGGAAGAAGAAGCCUCACCACCAUCAUACAUCCCCAGCUGGUUCAUAUUAUCAUAACCAUCUCCCAGCUGCAUCUGGAAAUUACUAUUAAGACCCUGCUGCUGCUGCGGCUGCGGAGGUGGGCCCGGAGCCGGAGCAAGGGGAACAAAAGACAUGGUUGGCUGCGGUGGCUGCGGAGGUGGGGCCGGAGCCGGAGCCAGGGGAGCAAGAGGCACCAACGUGGGCCCAACAUCUUGAUGACCAGCACCACUUCGGUUGAGGAGCAACCUAGGGUCACGGUAAGCACGGUCACCCUCCCUCUCACGAUACCUAACAAGGAACAGACAUAUAUUAUCGAGUUAAAAUUGAAAAAAAAAACGUUAAAAAAAUAGGUAGAGAUGACGGGUGACCAUGACCUAAUGUAGUCAAUGCUGGUCAAUGCUGGUUACCUGGCGAGGUACAAGGAGAGCG